Molecule: non-coding RNA, 204 nt
Organism: Candidatus Scalindua brodae
Lineage: Bacteria; Pseudomonadati; Planctomycetota; Candidatus Brocadiia; Candidatus Brocadiales; Candidatus Scalinduaceae
Source: Rfam
CAAGUCCUUCCAAACCAAAGUCUAGCCAGCAGGUUAGUAGUGAAGCCCGGGUGCGAUACUGGUAACAGUGUGUGCGGAGCAAGGGUGAAACGAGAGUAUAGGCUGUCUACUGAGCCCCGAAAUAUUGUAUAGUUGUGGACAUUUGGAUAACCAUUGAAAAAUGUGAAAGCUGACGGCUUCUAGUGGUCGGAAGGCAGCAGCCCC